RNAcentral lists this ribosomal RNA (1542 nucleotides) under Escherichia coli. RNAcentral describes it as "bacterial SSU rRNA". It matches the Rfam family "Bacterial small subunit ribosomal RNA". Lineage: Bacteria; Pseudomonadati; Pseudomonadota; Gammaproteobacteria; Enterobacterales; Enterobacteriaceae. The record is from RNAcentral.
AAAUUGAAGAGUUUGAUCAUGGCUCAGAUUGAACGCUGGCGGCAGGCCUAACACAUGCAAGUCGAACGGUAACAGGAAGAAGCUUGCUUCUUUGCUGACGAGUGGCGGACGGGUGAGUAAUGUCUGGGAAACUGCCUGAUGGAGGGGGAUAACUACUGGAAACGGUAGCUAAUACCGCAUAAUGUCGCAAGACCAAAGAGGGGGACCUUCGGGCCUCUUGCCAUCGGAUGUGCCCAGAUGGGAUUAGCUAGUAGGUGGGGUAAAGGCUCACCUAGGCGACGAUCCCUAGCUGGUCUGAGAGGAUGACCAGCCACACUGGAACUGAGACACGGUCCAGACUCCUACGGGAGGCAGCAGUGGGGAAUAUUGCACAAUGGGCGCAAGCCUGAUGCAGCCAUGCCGCGUGUAUGAAGAAGGCCUUCGGGUUGUAAAGUACUUUCAGCGGGGAGGAAGGGAGUAAAGUUAAUACCUUUGCUCAUUGACGUUACCCGCAGAAGAAGCACCGGCUAACUCCGUGCCAGCAGCCGCGGUAAUACGGAGGGUGCAAGCGUUAAUCGGAAUUACUGGGCGUAAAGCGCACGCAGGCGGUUUGUUAAGUCAGAUGUGAAAUCCCCGGGCUCAACCUGGGAACUGCAUCUGAUACUGGCAAGCUUGAGUCUCGUAGAGGGGGGUAGAAUUCCAGGUGUAGCGGUGAAAUGCGUAGAGAUCUGGAGGAAUACCGGUGGCGAAGGCGGCCCCCUGGACGAAGACUGACGCUCAGGUGCGAAAGCGUGGGGAGCAAACAGGAUUAGAUACCCUGGUAGUCCACGCCGUAAACGAUGUCGACUUGGAGGUUGUGCCCUUGAGGCGUGGCUUCCGGAGCUAACGCGUUAAGUCGACCGCCUGGGGAGUACGGCCGCAAGGUUAAAACUCAAAUGAAUUGACGGGGGCCCGCACAAGCGGUGGAGCAUGUGGUUUAAUUCGAUGCAACGCGAAGAACCUUACCUGGUCUUGACAUCCACGGAAGUUUUCAGAGAUGAGAAUGUGCCUUCGGGAACCGUGAGACAGGUGCUGCAUGGCUGUCGUCAGCUCGUGUUGUGAAAUGUUGGGUUAAGUCCCGCAACGAGCGCAACCCUUAUCCUUUGUUGCCAGCGGUCCGGCCGGGAACUCAAAGGAGACUGCCAGUGAUAAACUGGAGGAAGGUGGGGAUGACGUCAAGUCAUCAUGGCCCUUACGACCAGGGCUACACACGUGCUACAAUGGCGCAUACAAAGAGAAGCGACCUCGCGAGAGCAAGCGGACCUCAUAAAGUGCGUCGUAGUCCGGAUUGGAGUCUGCAACUCGACUCCAUGAAGUCGGAAUCGCUAGUAAUCGUGGAUCAGAAUGCCACGGUGAAUACGUUCCCGGGCCUUGUACACACCGCCCGUCACACCAUGGGAGUGGGUUGCAAAAGAAGUAGGUAGCUUAACCUUCGGGAGGGCGCUUACCACUUUGUGAUUCAUGACUGGGGUGAAGUCGUAACAAGGUAACCGUAGGGGAACCUGCGGUUGGAUCACCUCCUUA